AACGAACGCUGGCGGCAGGCCUAAAACAUGCAAGUCGAACGAUGUAGCAAUACAUAGUGGCGCACGGGUGCGUAACGCGUGGGAAUAUGCCCUUCACUACGGAACAACGUCGGGAAACUGACGCUAAUACCGUAUAAUGACUCCGGUCCAAAGAUUUAUCGGUGAAGGAUUAGCCCGCGUCUGAUUAGGUAGUUGGUGAGGUAACGGCUCACCAAGCCGACGAUCAGUAGCUGGUCUGAGAGGAUGAUCAGCCACACUGGAACUGAGACACGGUCCAGACUCCGACGGGAGGCAGCAGUUAGGAAUAUUGGACAAUGGGGGAAACCCUGAUCCAGCCAUGCCGCGUGAGUGAAGAAGGCCUUAGGGUUGUAAAGCUCUUUCGUCUGUGAGGAUAAUGACAGUAGCAGAAGAAGAAGCCCCGGCUAAAUUCGUGCCAGCCGCCGCGGUAA
Molecule: ribosomal RNA, 449 nt
Filed under: uncultured bacterium
Lineage: Bacteria
Description: partial 16S ribosomal RNA
Rfam family: Bacterial small subunit ribosomal RNA
Source: RNAcentral